This 873-nucleotide ribosomal RNA is filed under the name uncultured eukaryote. RNAcentral describes it as "bacterial SSU rRNA". It matches the Rfam family "Eukaryotic small subunit ribosomal RNA", at positions 575 to 1470 of the family's 1831-position model. The record is from RNAcentral.
CGCGGUAAUUCCAGCUCCAAUAGCGUAUACUAAAGUUGUUGCAGUUAAAAAGCUCGUAGUUGAAUUUCUGGUCGUGAAAAGUGGUCCGUUCCGCAAGGAAUGUGUACUGUCUAUUCAUGUCCAUCCUCGGAGUUAGUGUGUAUUACUUUAAUCGGUCGUGCAUGCAAUACUUCGUCAUUUACUGUGAGCAAAAUAGAGUGUUCAAAGCAGGCUUAUGCCGUUGAAUAUAUUAGCAUGGAAUAAUAAGAUAUGACUUUGGUCUAUUUUGUUGGUUUGCACUCCAAAGUAAUGAUUAAUAGGGAUAGUUGGGGGUAUUCGUAUUCAAUUGUCAGAGGUGAAAUUCUUGGAUUUAUGGAAGACGAACUACUGCGAAAGCAUUUACCAAGGAUGUUUUCAUUAAUCAAGAACGAAAGUUAGAGGUUCGAAGGCGAUUAGAUACCGCCCUAGUUCUAACCAUAAACGAUGCCAGCUAGCGAUCUGCCUGCGUUUUUACUGUAGACUGGGCAGGAAGCUUCCGGGAAACCAAAGCAUUUGGGUUCCAGGGGAAGUAUGGUUGCAAAGCUGAAACUUAAAGGAAUUGACGGAAGGGCACCACCAGGAGUGGAGCCUGUGGCUUAAUUUGACUCAACACGGGAAAUCUCACCAGGCCCGGACACUGGAAGGAUUGACAGAUUGAUAGCUCUUUCUUGAUUCGGUGGGUGGUGGUGCAUGGCCGUUCUUAGUUGGUGGAGUGAUUUGUCUGGUUAAUUCCGAUAACGAACGAGACUCUGUCCUGCUAAAUAGUUUCUACUUCUCUUUUGAGUAGAAAUUUCUUCUUAGAGGGACUGGUGACUCUUAGUCACACGAGAUUGAGCAAUAACAGGUCUGUGAUGC